GUGCUUGCUUUGGCAGCACGUAUACUAAAAUUGGAACAAUACAGACAAGAUUAGCAUGGCCCCUGUGCAAGGAUGACACACAAGUUCAUGAAGCGUUCCAUAUUUUU
RNAcentral lists this small nuclear RNA (107 nucleotides) under Aotus nancymaae (Ma's night monkey). Lineage: Eukaryota; Metazoa; Chordata; Mammalia; Primates; Aotidae. The record is from RNAcentral.